UGUAAUCUAGGUAAAAAAGAACUGACAUGUGCCCUGAACCGAGAUUGUGAUUUUAUAUUUUAUUUCCUUAUUUCUGGGAUUCUUAGGAUUUAGGUAAUAUGUUCAUCUCUUUAAGAACCUUUGCUGUUUAGUUUCUCUGUUUAAACUACAGGGUUUCCAGAUAUAAAUAGAACAUUAGUUGGCCUUUUUGAUGAAUCUAUUACUUUAAAGGAUUUCCUUGGCCUUUUGAACGUUCAAGUGUGUGGUUGUGAGUUCUGCUCAUGUUGCAAAUUUAGAAUUAUGUAGAUAAGGGUUAUUCUUCUUUCAACUGCAUCACUGACAGACGCAGUGAAAUGUUGAGAAAUUCAUGAACUGGCCUAGCCUUUUGGUUGCAUGGACAUCCCACCCAGAGCAUGGAAAGGUAAAGAUAGUGAAGUCUACAAUGUAGGGGAGAUACUUGUGAUGGUGGAAAGAGUGAGAAUCGUUUUAUUCUUGUGCGUGCCUUCCACCAUGUGUUUGCGAGUUCUGCUCGUGCUGUAAAUUCAGUAUAAUAUAGCCUCCUGUUUGCCCCCAUUUGCCACUAUGUCAGGAUGUUUACUGACAAAAAAUUAUAACAUAAACUAUAGAUGGAAAAUACUUUAGAAGUAAAAGAGAAGUUGACUGAAGGUCCAAAAAAAAGAAAAAGGAAAUUAAACGCUUAUCCGAUCUUCGACUUUGCUUCUAUAUUGCUUCAAUGAAGGAUGAUCGUAUGAAGUUCUCAUCAAAUUAAAGAUUCACUUAAUUUUUACUUGAGCUCAAAGUUAUGUUACCUUUAAUUUCCCGUAAAUUAGCCACACUUUUUUCAUAUAGGAAUUCACCUCACCCUAGGUGCAGAGUUUGAGUGACUAGGGAACGGAUCUAUACUUGCAGGAAUGCUGCCUGACUUACUAAAUGUUUAUAAUUGCCUCUCAUUUACACUUUCCCAGAUGAACAAUCGUAUCAAGUUCCCUGAAUAUUACAUUAGAGUUACCAAGAGAAGAAAACAUGCCAUUGGUGCAGAGAAGGCGAAGCUGAUUACCUCUUUGUCAUUUCAUUUGGUGCGCGGGUGAGCCUCGGUUUCUUUCCUCCCUAUCUCAAUCUAUGUACCAUAGGCUUAUGUUGUCCCUCUAGUAAAUAAAAUUCCAAAGGGAACACCUGGGGUAUAACUUCUUUCGCAAUUCUGUUGAGAUUGAAAUCAUGGAGCUCCAUUGCAUUAUUUUUUUUUGGAUGUUGGCUCUAUUAAGAUGUAGAACUGGUUCCUGAUUGGAAAGGGCAAAGGUCUGAUGACAUCUUUCAACAAAGACCUUCAGUUCAAUAUUUUUUGAGUAAUUUAGAUUACCCCAUUAUGAGUGGUUGAUAUUUUCUUUUAACAAGCACCUGAUCACACUUGAUUUCUAACCGUUUACAGUGACAGAGGGCCUUAAUUAUCUGUUGUUUUCUAUGAAUGUAAUUGAACCCCUGACUUUAAAAAGAAGUAAAGCUUAAAGGUUCUUGACGAUGUCUGUCUGACUACAUUUUUCUGACUGAAGACUUUUCUAAAUUCGUUCUAGUUUUCCGUAUUAUUUCCUGAGAAUGAGAUGCUUUUGGGGUUUCUGACAGAGGGGACAAGGAAUAUCUCUAUGUCGAUGGGGCCGGCAUCAAAACUGGCGAUUGCUUUCAGUUUUACUAUGUGGAUCCUGCUGCUGCACUUGCCUCAUGUAAUGACGUCACUGCUAAUCUAAGAAGUUUGAACCUGGGGUGCAGUUCCAAGAGCUCUUAUCAGGCGGCGGGCACCGCCAGUAAUGCGGGUAAAUCUGAAGUAUUCGGAGGCUUACUGUUUGUUUGCUGUGGACGCGGACCAUUUUUCUUCGGGCGCCCCUACGUUGAUAUCUUGCCAUUCAUGGAGAACUUUCCUGGAGCUCCAUUGGCUGGAAUAUAUUGUGGCGGGGAGAUCGGCCGCUGCUCAAUGAGGCCAGAAGAGCAAGGUAGCCAAGGAGAGAGCUCUACCCGUUGUUGUUGCCAUGUAUAUAGCACCGUUUAUCUCGUGAUGUCAUAUACCCCAGCACUUCCAGGGGCCACCACCCUUAGGGGCUAGAGCGUGACCAGGGUUUUAUAUGCACCUGCAUUCAUGGAUCUUGUGCUGAACUCUGGUUUUGUGCAUUAUGUAUUGUAUGAACGUGAUGGAACAGGUGUUAUAUAGCCGACAGUCAAUGAAGGUGUCUUUUUAACUUUGCCACUCUUUUGCCUUUUGCUAUAAUCGAAUGGAUAGAGACACUUUUCACAACGAACGCCAAAUGGUUUUAGCAGCAGGCAAAGAACCUACUCACAGGGAAGAGGAUCGCAUUGGAUCUUAUCAUCCGGUGGCAAGAACAGGCUCAGCCAACUUUCUUAGGCUUCAUUCGACUUGCAUUAGCAUAUGUUUUGAGAAUGGAAAUGACCCGGAAAACAUUCGCGAUUCGCAAUAAGCAGAAACCAACAUCCGACCCCGUUACAUAACCAAAAUAUGAAAUUGCUUAAGAGCGCAAAACAGCGCAUACUCGGGCGCAUCACGAGUCAAGGAGAGUACAACUGUACAAGCAGGCAACCCGACUACAGUGCACGCUACAGGAUCUUGCGGGAGAGGAGCUUCAGCCAGUGUAGAUGUGGACUCCGAUGGCGAUGAGGAAGAUGGUGAUGAGGCCGAAGUAGAUGAUGGUAUGGACGAAGAUGGAGGCACCGCUGGUCUCCAUGUUGCCGAACUCCACGAAUCGGUGCCGCCCCGGGAUCUGGAACAGCAAGCCCGGGCUCAACAGUACGAACAGCAACACCGCUAUCACCACCGGCCCCCAGUCCUCCAUUCUUCUCUUCCUCCUCCUCCUUCUCCUUGUGAACUUUUCUUGAAUUUGAAUCGACUUCUGCACGAAAGGCGAGUGGCUCAUUCUUGAAUUUAAAGACGGGGACGGUGACGGUGACGUUUAGAGAUGGGGAGGUUUCUCCGGAGCGGGAGCUGUUUGUCGGACUACAAGCACGUGCUCGGUGCUUCCGAGGUAAGAACAUAGAAAGUGAACACCAACUCGACCAUUUCUGGGCUUGGCCCGAUUCGUCACUGCGCUCUCAAACCAGCCAUUUCCCUGUUCGGCCCACCCUCGAAUUCCACCAUUCAUGCUCCACUAAGGCUGGGUUUGGUGAUCCAACUUAAGUCCAGACUAUCCUAUUCGAUAUUUGUUGACGUUCUUUGGACCCGAUAAAUUGGGAUGCAUGCAAACAAGAAAUUUGGCAUAGAGAUGGGAUAAACUCAAAUUGAAUGUAUUACUUACCUUUACCCAAAAAAAAACUCAAAUUGAAUGUAAAAUUUUAAAAAAUUUCUCACUGGCAACACCCAACUACCACACCGGCGGUCAUUCACCAUGACGAUCUCUUGCUCUGGCUUCCUCAAGUAUUCUCGCCAAUGCCAUUGUUCACCUCAUUCGUGGCUCGCUCUCUUUCUCAGUUGGUUUUCCAGCUUUUCCACCAUCACCAAAUUAUGUCUUGGUUCCUUUCUCUACUUCACCUUUAAUUAGUCAUUCUCGGCCUCCAUUGUUCCAUGAUCUCUCUUGGUUGACUCUGAACUAGGUGCUCAUCAAGUAUUUGAUGAAAUGCUAGAGAGAGGUCCUUCUUGCCUAUAGUCUAGAAUUGUCAAGCUCACAAGAUGAAUUUUCUAGAGUCUGCUUAUCAACGGUAGUGGUCAAGAAAAUUUGAGUCGUUAUGUAUACAAGGAUCUCAUAGGAGAAGGGAUUUUCAUAAUGAAAGUAUUUUAAAAGAUUCUCAAUCUUUAACUUCCAGAUUUUUAAAUAUUUCAAAUUGUGUUUUAAAUCACGCUAAACAUUUGAUUGAAUAUUUCUACAAUCCAAAGAUAUUUGACGGAUUAUUAAUACCCAUUUAUCCUAUCCUAUUCUAUGUCCUUCAAAAUUCGGACAACUAAAUGCAGUUUAGGAGGUUAUUGACAGUGGCAACUUGUAGGGGGGACAUUCAACCCGAGAAACAUUCAAUGCCGACAAAAAUCCGUUGCCUAUAUAAAGUGAUCUCGGUGAAUCGGCUAAAUCUGCAUCGUUCUAACAUCUUUAACCGCGCCGCAGAGAAGCUGAGAAUGUCGGCGAGAAUUUGCCAGCACGAAAUCAGAGAGAAACCACCGUCUCAUUGUCGGCACUGGGCAGGCCCAUCUGGAUGCGGCCAUCGACACUUGGGUCCAGUCCCCUUCUAUCGGACCCGAGUCUAUCGAAUUCGGGCUCAGGACCUUGGCUCUCGGACUCAAGCCCAUUGAGGCCAAGCCUCGACCCUUGACACCUAGGCCUAGCAUCAAUGGACUAGGGCGCAAGCAUAGGGACUUGAGCACAAGCACAUGAGUCUUAGGCCUAGCUUCAAUAGACCUAAGCUUAGAAUUCAGGGAUUUGACCAUGGACGUAAGGGUUUGGAGCCCAGCCUUGAUGGACCCAUGCACAGCCUCGAUGGACUCAGGCCCGGGUGCUAAAGACCCAUCUAUUUCCACUGCCAAGGGCUAGGGAAUGAGCGUUAGGUUUCCACGCCCAAAUACAGGAUUUUUAGUUCAAACGUCAAUACCUAGUCAUAUUUUGAAAAAUGAUUUUCAAUUUUUAAAAAAGAAAGUUGUUUUCGUAAACUUAAAUAUUAAUAGGAAAAUCUUUUCCAUUAACUCAUUUUUUUUUAGGCGGGCUCUAUUCCUUCUCAAGUUGAUUCCACUAAUUAAGAUUCUUCCGACCUGUCCAUGUGGGAUAAAAGAAUAAAUAGGACCUCCAACAGGAUCGAGGAACUCUUUUAGUAAUGUCAGUAUCAUUAAGGCAUGAUUCUUGACUUGACAUUAAAGGUUCUCAACAUAAUUAUUUUAAAAAUUCUAUCAAGUAUAUAACUAUCAAUAUAGUCAUAAAUCUUUUAAUUAUGUCAAUUUAAUUCUAAAUAUUUUAACAAUUUAUCAAUUUAGUCAUAAACAUUUUAUUUGUAUUAAUCAAGUCUUAAACUUUUGAAAAUUUAUCAAUUUAAUUAUAAACCUUUUAACAACUUAUUAAUAUAGUAUUUCUAACUAAUUUCAGUUGGAAAUCGCUAAUAUAGAUAUCCAUCACGCUAACGUGGCACGACAAAUGUUGACGUGGACAAUCUUUACAUGUUAAUUUUUUUUUUUCCCUUUAUUUCCCUUUGACCUGUGGUUGUGACUUGACCAUGGCCUACGACCAUCCACAAGUGGGGGCUCGACCCUUGUGGCUUGUGAAGGCCAGUGAGGCCAACUCUUGCCUGUAGGCAAAGAAAAGAAAAAACAAGUUUUCAAAAAUACUAAACUUGUUCAUAUCAAUGUCAGCAAUGCCACGUAGAAUGAUAAACAUUCAAAUUAGUAAUCUGUCGUCAAAAUUGGUAGAAGAACUAAAUUGUCAAGUUGUCAAAAAAUUUAUGACUAAAUUUGCAUAAUUGAAAUAUUUAAAACUAAAUUGAUCGUUGUACAAUAGAUUUAUGACUUUUUGGAUAAUUUUUCUCAAAGGUUUUAUGAUGUCUAAAAGUCCUCUAAAUGAUCCUAUGGGCGUGAUAUGGACAUGUUCACACACAAAAAUGACCAUUCCUUGCAAUUGGUAUGGCUUCGCAAUCGGUAUGGCUUCGAUUUGAAUGAAUAUAGAGCUUGCUGUUCAGUUGGAUUUGGUUGUCGGUAAGUUAUCAAUAAUGGAUACACUUGUCAAUACUAUGUUUAUGUAUCGAUCAUGAAAUAGAGCUACGACGCACCUUGGUGAAUGGUCGCCAAACAAAUUCCUUUUGAUUUUGUGCACCUCAGUCUUCGCUGUCCAUCCUGCUUUUUAAAAGUGUUGUGGUUCCCCUUUUUCUUCUUUUGUCAUUUUUCGGUCGUUAGGGGCACGAGUGUUGGCGGGCCGAGCUUCUGCAUGUGCCGAGAGAAGUUGAGAGGGAAAAAGGACUCAAAGUGCGAGAUUUUCAUGGAACUAUUCUCAAUUAUUUUAAAAGUUAAAUUAUUACAUGUAUUAGACAAAAAUGAACAAUUCUAAUCAUGCAUUGAACAACAAAUUUCAAGCAUCAAUUAAAAUCAUAUGCGGAGAUAGAAAAAAAAUUGACCUCUAGCCAUUAUUUGAAUUUGUGUUUGUCAGAAAAUUAUGAAAAUUCAGGUGGUGUUAAAAUGAUUUUGGCUGAGUGCUGGAUGCAAGGAAAUAAAGUAAGGAGAUAAAGUUGAAACAUCCAAGACAAAAAUACCGAACCCAAUUGCAUGUAAGGAGUUGUAGCCCGCUCGUGGAGAAGGUCGAUGUGCGAUCAAGUGCAACUAUUGCAAAAGGAUGCACGAUCAUUGAUAUAAGUUCCUAUUGAAUUUGCAAUUUAUCAAUACAUUUUCAGUUUCCAAUACUUGCAUUUCUUUCUUUAAACUCAUUCCAUAUUCAAUUCCCGUUCGAAUUGCCACUCAACCCGCUAAAUAAAAAGAAAAAUCAAUCUUUGAUGAAAGGUAUUUCGCUAAUUAGGACAGAUGUCCUUUUCUGGGAAACAAGAUGUAAAGGUCAUCAGGGCCUUGGGCGGUAAGACAGAACCUGGCAUGGGGGACUUGGGGACCACAGAAAUAAGUCAACAUCAGAGUUAGCUUGUGCUGGCCCAUUUCCACAUUGCUUUUGACUAAUCAGCGGAAUCUACGGAGGGAGGGGAGUGAUGCAUGAGAAUCGUUAGGAUCCCCCGACGCCUGCUUCGUGACCUUCUUAUAUGGGCGUUUCUUCCUCCCUUUUGGAUCGCAUCGUUUCUCUUUCGCUCUCCAUCCUCACUCCUUCCUCUGUUCUCAUCUCUCCAUUGAAAGUUCCUCUAAUUACUCGCGUCCGCCCAUCCGGUCCGACAAAGCAAAUGGGAUAUCUGGGGAUUCUCCUGACGCACGCUCACUGCCUCGCCGGGUACUUCUCCUCCUUCCUCUUCUUUGUCGUCUUCUUCUUCAACGUUAUAUUGAACGACUCGUGUAACUUAUCAAUCUUUGAUGGAAUUCGCGCAGGCCCGUGCUAAUGCUGCUCUAUCCUCUGUAAGAUACUGGAUUCUUUCUUCGCCCGAUGCUUAUUAUGUUGGGUCAAUCAAUUGAAUCAAGGCAGGGAAGAGAUUUGAGGUUGAUGAUUGGUGGUUGUGUUUUCUCUCUGGGCAGGUACGCCUCAGUGAUGGCCAUACAGAGCCCCUCCAAGAUAGACGAUAAGCAGUGGCUGGCUUACUGGAUCAUCUACUCCUUCAUCACCCUCGCGGAGGUGCACCUCCAGCCUCUUUUUGAGUGGUAAGUGGCGACCCACCCUUGUCUCCUCUCUUGUCGGUUUGAUGAUUGAAUCAUCGAGAUGACUAAUCGUCAUCCUCCUCUUCAUCUGUCAGGAUACCCAUAUGGUACGAUGUGAAGCUUAUCUUAGCAGCGUGGCUGGUUCUCCCUCAGUUCCAAGGCGCGGCUUUUCUGUACGAGAGACUCGUGCCGGAGCACAUCCUCAAGAGGCAACCCAAGUCCAAGAAGAAGUUCCUCGACUUCAUCAUCCCGAAGAUAUAUAUCACCCCCAAGAUUUAUAUAUAUAUAAGCUUUCGCUAACCGAAGUGUCUUUGCUAGGGGGAGCACAAGCGUAUUGAUUGGAGUAGAGAGUCUCUCGAAUUCUCGGCAAUUCUCUCUUACACAUCAGAGCAUGUUGUCGUGCUUUGAUGUCAUACGUCCUGUAUUGCUACUGAUCGAAAGGCUUUAAUACUACAGCUUCUUCAUUGAUUCCGCACAUUUUCUUCCUGUAAACUUGAAAUCACUGAGAAAGCUACAAUUUUGUUACUACACAAGAAUUUCAAAACCCCACGAACAAUUCGCAUGAAUAGAGCAGCAGGAUAUGAUUUGCUGCGCUUCGAACUUGACCACGCCUGAUCUUUGAACGGAAUUAGUUAGUUUCGUCUGUUCGCUUUGGCUGGAAAUGAUAACAGAAGGUACAAAUUAGGGAAAAUUCAAGAUGUGGAGAUGGUCUCCAUUGUGCGUGUCAAUCCUUGAAAAUAUUGCAUACCCUUUUGUGCUCUGAAUGAUUCACGCUUCGACGCCUGUCCAGCGGCAGGUCCACGUCUGCUCCUCUUCACUUUUCUCCCAGAUGAGACCAGACAGAGCACGGGCAAGCGUUCUCUCUCCUGUGUCUUACCUUCUCUCUCUUCCGACGACGACGCCACUCGACGCUCUCGGCGCACUCUAACCAACGCACUGAACCGCGCCGUCUAGCACUUCCUGCGACGGCCGUCGCUCCCUCCCGACGACGGCUUUUCUCUCUCUACUCGACGGUGUCAUCUCAGAUCUGCAUUCUCUCGGCACACUCCCGCGAUGUCUUCCUUCCGAAAUUGCGCUCUCUCCCGACCGCAAGACAGGUUCGAUUUUAUUUCCCGAGCCCUAAAUCUAGCUUUGUCAACUGACAUAAUCUGGUAAUUAGGGGUGAAUUUUGUUUUAGUUUUGACAUUUCCUGAGCCCUAAACUAUGGUUUGAUAGUUCAUUAACAAUAUUUGGAAAAAGUUAAGUCUCAGUUGCUAGGAUGGAAAUUUAAAAAGCGCAUUCACUUUUCUAUGACAGUUAGGAGUCACAAGGAUUGUAUUUGCAACCUAUGAUAAUUCAAAACAUGGCAAAUCCAGCUUAUAGUUGGUCCUCUUACAUUUUAACAGCUUAGCAGUGGCUGGAGGUCUCAGAAGUUCUUUUUACCAAAUGUGCAGGGUUUGCCAUUGAAAAGUUGUAGUUUAGACCCUAGACAUUAGAACAAUGAAUCUCAAUUAUCCAAUGCCAUUUUAUUUUUGUCCAUAUUGGUGAAAUGGAUGACUCCUCAAGUACUGAUCUUUAGGAUGUUACCAACUUCUUGCAUGUCUUCUAACAGUUCAAGUGUUUUGGCAGGAAGGAGAGUUAAAAGGGGCCGUUGUCCUGAUUUUUUGCUAACGAGCAGGUACUUACUUUGGCUAUCUUCUAGCGAAGAAAGCUUUUGAUGUACUGGAAAGGGUUAGUGUUUUUGACUUAAGAUCAUCUGCUCUUGCAACACUAAACAGCUCGUCGCUCUUGUAGUCCGUUUCUUUAAGUUGUGCAAUUAUUUCCUAGUCUCCACAUGCUUGCUGAUAUUGCAAUUCCUCAAAGGUUUGACGUCUUAAAAGCCCUGAUUACAAAUUGCAACUCUUCCUUUAUGGUUUCUGCACGAGAGCCUGCUUAAAUGAUAUAAGGGUGUCUUUUCUUUACAUGGAAGGAUGCAUAAUGUGACCUGAUUGCCUACAACUUGUGUAGGUUGCCAUCCUUCUAGAUAUUAUUAGAAAAGUGAGGCACUCCAAAACUACAGACAAAUUGUCGCAAGGAAAUGUUGAUAAAGUUUUCCAUGAGACACCACUUUGGUCUGCUGAAGUGCUUGAACUAGUGGAAUUAGUUUGGAAGCCUUCUAAGCGAGGCCCUCCAAGUCUUCUUGAACAAAGUGAUGCUGUAUAUAUGACUCCUUAUUAUUGAUUAUUUCCAUAUUGUCUCCUUGCUUGGAUGAUGGCCGCUCCUUAUUUCUUUUUAGGUUGUGACAUUUUUCAUGGUGUAGACUCUUCUGAAUGGGUUUAAAGGUCAUUGGUUUUCAUAAGACCAUUGAAUGCUCAAAGUGAAUAGGAAUAGCAAGCUGAAAAAGCCAAUUCAAAAAUAUCCAUCUAACUUUUGACAUGCGAAGUUGAAGGAAGUCUAUAUUUACAUGUGACGUGCAAUAACACAUUUCAAUUCCUUUUUUAGAUAAAGCAAACACAUUAGAAAUGAGUUCACGAUUGUGAAUUGUAAUUUUUUGUGGCAUUACUUGAGUUAGGCAGGAGGAGUCCUAAUCUCUACCUUGCUGCUAAAUUAGCUUUCUAAGAAUUCAACCCAGCUUGAGGCCUGAUGUCAAGUUACCUUUUUAUCAGUUUCUGACUUCUAUGGUUAUCACCUUAUCGGAUAUUGCUCGCUCUAGGCCUGAUAUGAGUUGCUUAUUUCAAGUGCCAAACUAGAUGCAGAGAAGUUCAGUGAUUUUUUUCACUUCAACCUUAUAUUUAGAUAUCCAGUAAGGCGGUAUCCAAUUGAAAUUCUUCACAGCAGUACAGCUGAAGCAGAUUACUUGGAUGCAGCUAUUGUUACUGCUCUUCAAAUACAUGUGCAGCAACCACGUGGUGAUAUUUUGAUUUUUCUUAUUAGUCAAGAGGAAAUUGAAGCAGCGGAAGAGCUUUUGAAGCAUAGGUAAGGGGUUUUGGCUCCAAAAUUGCCAAACUCAUUAUAUGCCCAAUAUAUGCUAAUUUGCCUACAGAUCUUCACGCAAAGAUAUUUGAACCCACGCCAGAAGGUGCUGGUAAGGUGGUCCUUGCGACAAAUAAUUUUAAGGUUGUAUUUUUAAUUGACUCGUGCAGAGCAUAAGUGGAUACAGAAUGUGGACAGGGCUCCCAACGUUUCACUAGGACAAAAUGUCCGGAUGAGGAUAAAGCAAUUCUCUUUGAUGAAUAAGUUCAAGAAGAAAGUUCUCAGAGUGAGUCCUUGAACAUUGUCUUGUUGGAUUUCAUUGCUGUUCUUAGUGCAAAGUUAAACUCGAAUCGUGUUUCCCGCAUUGUUAAUGUAGGUAGUAGCAGACAAUUUGCCUGAUGAGCAAGUGGAUCAUAUCAAAGAGAUGUUCCACGUGAUGGACACCGAUAAAAAUGGAGAUCCGACAUUUGAAGAGUUGAAACAUGGCCUGCACAAAUAUGGACAGCAAGUUGCUGAUCCUGAUGUGCAGAUGCUGUUGGAUGCAGUAAGAUCACCUAUUCAACAGCUUAGCACAUUUUGUUUUAGACAUGGUUUAUGUUUUCUUCCUCCAUGUUGACGCAUUGUAUGCUGUGAAGUGCAUCAUUUUGCUUAAAUUGCAAGGCAUUUGGAAGAUUAAGGACGGAUUACAUAAUACGGAAAUAUGUUUUUCAUCAGUUGGUCAAAGAUUUGAUCAUGAGGUUGUAUCACCAUUUCACAUAAUUGAUAGAACUUCUUGCAAAAUCAAGUGGGUUUCUGAUAAUUUGAUGAGUCAUGAUUUCUUGUAUUAGCAUCUAAAAAUAGAACUCCAUUUUAUAUGAGAACAGGCUGAUGAAGAUGGAAGCGGAACGCUGAACUGUCAGGAGUUUGUGACUAUGUCAGUCCACUUGAGAAGGAUUGGCAGCGAUGACCACCUUACUUGAUCUUUUGAAUUCUUUGACAAGAAUUGAAGCAGAUAUAUUGAAUUCGAUGAGUUGAAAGAAGCUUUGAUAGAUGACAAUCUUGGUCCAAACAACGAAAAAUUUAUUGAAGACAUCAUUUUCAAUGCUGAUCUAGAUAAGGUAAUACAUAACCAGAACAACCUGCAAUUUAGAAUCUGUGUAUAUCUUGUUCAUAUACGAAAUAGAUUGCUCAUUCUGUGGUGGAUGUAUUCCAGGACAGUCGAAUUAGUUAUGAUGAAUUCAAGGCCAUGAUGAAAACGUGCAUGGACUAGAAAAUGGCUUCGCACCAGUACUCGAGAGCGAUGUUGAACGCGCUUAGCCAGAAGAUGUUCAAAGACAAACCUUCUUCCCUCAGAGGCUAAAAGAUGUUCCAACCACGGCUUCUUAAUCUAAUCCAGAUGAACUGUGGAGAAACAAAAUUGAAGUCUCAUCAAAAGGGUAUUGGGAAGGAGGCAUCAUACAAAAUCAUUGCAUUGGUUUGCUACUGCAGGGACAUAAAUGCUGUGAAAAUUUUAAAGAAAUGGGGUAUAAAUAGUCAGAUUCCUUCUGCAUUUCAAUCCUUAUCAAAGCCUUUGAGUAAGGUCUUGUGACCAUACUUCUUGGGUGGAGCGUUUCCCAUGUUAGCCAUCUCCUUCUGCUACUUGCACUUCCCUUAUAACAUUAUGAAUUGUGUGGUUCAUAUGCUCAAUCUUCCUAAUUGUCUUGCUUUCCAUGUGAAUCCUUCCCUAUCAAAGUCAACGCACAUUACCUUGCUUAUUUCGUGGUUUACAUGGUCCUGAUCGUAUGGCAUGUGCCAUCUGAAAAAUCAUCAAGUUAUGCAGCAUGUCCAUGGUCUUCGGGUGCACUGAUCCUUCUUUUAUUGACAGUUUGGUGCAUGGUCAUUUGGGCAUCAAUUUACUUUUUGUUGCCUUCGUCUUCGUAAUGUUUGGAUCUUCUCAUUUGAAUGAGCAGGUGUUGGUGAAAUCAGAUUUCAUGUGGCAUUAUCAGAUGGGGUUUCAGGGGUAGGUCCAACAUACAAGGCCGUUUCUGUUAGGGCUCGUGAUGAUGUUACCUGGCUAACCGCUAAAAGAGAAGGACAAACAGAAGUUCUUGACGGGGAAAGCAUUCUCAAUGAAAUCUAAUGGCGAGGUAUGUUGUACAUGGAAGGUUGUGGGUGUCUCAUAACUUCACAAUCUUGAAUGGUAAUGUGAGUUUUCUUCUGCCUUUUAUCCAUAUAAUGAUUAAUACUUUACUGGGCGUAAAAUGGACUGUAAUCUAGGUAAAAAGGAACUGACAUGCACCCUGAACCGAGAUUGUGAUUUUAUAUUUUAUUUCCUUAUUUCUGGGAUUCUUAAGAUUUAGGUAAUAUGGUUCAUCUCUUUAAGAACCUUUGCUGUUUAGUUUCUCUGUUUAAACUACAGGGUUUCCAGAUAUAAAUAAAACAUUAGUUGGCCUUUUUUGAUGAAUCUGUUACUUUAAAGGAUUUCCUUGGCCUUUUGAACGUUCAAGUGUGUGGUUGUGAGUUCUGCUCAUGUUGCAAAUUUAGAAUUAUGUAGAUAAGGGUUAUUCUUCUUUCAACUGCAUCACCGACAGACGCAGUGAAAUGUUGAGAAAUUCAUGAACUGGCCUAGCCUUUUAGUUGCAUGGACAUCCCAGAGCAUGGAAAGGUAAAGAUAGUGAAGUCUACAUUGUAGGGGAGAUAAUUGUGAUGGUGGAAAGAGUGAGAGUCGUUUUAUUCUUGUGCGUGCCUUCCACCAUGUGUUUGUGAGUUCUGCUCGUGCUGUAAAUUCAGUAUAAUAUAGCCUCCUGUUUGCCCUCAUUUGCUACUAUGUCAGGAUGUUUACUGACAAAAAAUUAUAACAUAAACUAUAGAUGGAAAAUACUCUAGAAGUAAAAAAGAAGUUGACUGAAGG
This 13022-nucleotide long non-coding RNA is filed under the name Eucalyptus grandis. RNAcentral describes it as "long non-coding RNA (EGRA_LNC000403)". The record is from RNAcentral. Lineage: Eukaryota; Viridiplantae; Streptophyta; Magnoliopsida; Myrtales; Myrtaceae.